RNAcentral lists this ribosomal RNA (496 nucleotides) under uncultured bacterium. RNAcentral describes it as "partial 16S ribosomal RNA". It matches the Rfam family "Bacterial small subunit ribosomal RNA", at positions 28 to 506 of the family's 1533-position model. The record is from RNAcentral.
GAUGAACGCUGGCGGCGUGCCUAAUACAUGCCAGUCGAGCGAACGGACGAGAAGCUUGCUUUUCUGAUGUUAGCGGCGGACGGGUGAGUAACACGUGGAUAACCUACCUAUAAGACUGGGAUAACUUCGGGAAACCGGAGCUAAUACCGGAUAAUAUUUUGAACCGCAUGGUUCAAAAGUGAAAGACGGUCUUGCUGUCACUUAUAGAUGGAUCCGCGCUGCAUUAGCUAGUUGGUAAGGUAACGGCUUACCAAGGCAACGAUGCAUAGCCGACCUGAGAGGGUGAUCGGCCACACUGGAACUGAGACACGGUCCAGACUCCUACGGGAGGCAGCAGUAGGGAAUCUUCCGCAAUGGGCGAAAGCCUGACGGAGCAACGCCGCGUGAGUGAUGAAGGUCUUCGGAUCGUAAAACUCUGUUAUUAGGGAAGAACAUAUGUGUAAGUAACUGUGCACAUCUUGACGGUACCUAAUCAGAAAGCCACGGCUAACUACGU